This 76-nucleotide transfer RNA is filed under the name Candidatus Yanofskybacteria bacterium RIFCSPHIGHO2_01_FULL_43_42. Its description in RNAcentral is "tRNA-Gln". It matches the Rfam family "tRNA". From Rfam's summary of the family: Transfer RNA (tRNA) molecules are approximately 80 nucleotides in length. RNAcentral also lists the same sequence under 2 other names. The record is from RNAcentral. Lineage: Bacteria; Candidatus Yanofskyibacteriota.
UGCCGGGUGGUGUAAUUGGUAACACGUCUGCCUUUGGAGCAGAAGACUUCAGGUUCGAUCCCUGACCCGGCAGCAA